UGAUGAUGAUGAUGAUGAUGAUGAUGAUGUGUACAUUUAUUAAUAUUAGUAGUUGUUAUUACUAUGCAAUGGCUACAUCAUCAUCAUCAUAAUAAUCA
Molecule: microRNA precursor, 98 nt
Filed under: Bigelowiella natans CCMP2755
Lineage: Eukaryota; Cercozoa; Chlorarachniophyceae
Description: miRNA EPrBNAG00000013688
Source: RNAcentral